This is a long non-coding RNA of Pundamilia nyererei, 648 nucleotides long. RefSeq lists it as uncharacterized. The record is from RefSeq and is a predicted model, not a curated record. The transcript is spliced from 4 exons. NCBI's taxonomy places the organism in Eukaryota, Metazoa, Chordata, Actinopteri, Cichliformes, Cichlidae.
CACCACUCCCAGUUCUCCAACCGUGGGCUCUGCCUCAGCGCGGAGGCUUCUCCUGGACUGCAGAAUUGCAACUCCUAAGAUUGAGCAGAAAGAGAACGUGCGUAGAAGAUCAUCCCAAGAGAAGUUAAAAUGCAGCUAUCAGAGAUAAGCGGAGAGUCACAGUGAGGCGAGCUUCCUCUCAUGCAGCUAGAGGAUGUUGCCUCUCUGGCUGAAUUCACGGGAAGGAUAUAGUACGUAGCCUGACUCAAGAUGGAUGCCACUUACAGAGGAUAUGUGUCUUUUGUUUUACAAGUGCAUGUCCUACUCUGCGAGCAGUAAUCUUGCUCCGACAACAGAACGCUGGCAGUUUCCAGUUUCCACAGGAAGGCAGAGGAAGCUAGAGGACGCCGAUUAGGCUGCAGAUGUAGAAGAGGGAGCCACUGACACGACGGCCAAAACACUCCCUCCGGAGAACAGUGUCUUCAAACAUAAUUACUGGAAAGUUAAACUAUUGACAUUUUUUCCUUUAUAGCACUUCCAUCUCCUGUGUAAAUAUGGAAAUUAUUUUAGCACGAGUGAUGUAUUGUCAGAUUAGCUGGAAGUUGCUGCCCUCUUGAGGUUUCAUGUUUCAGCAGGCAGAUCUCUAAAAGACAAAUAAAAAGGUGCUGU